ACCAAACUCGAGCCUGAAACUUUUAUAUCCUGAACAGUCUAAUAUGGGCGUUGAACAUUUAACUUGAAACCCCAGCCUAGAAAUCCGAAUGACAUUUAAUUUUGUGAGCUGAGUUUGGACUUUUCAAAACCCGGCUAACCAGGCCCGAUUGACGCCUCUGGUACUCUUCUAUUAGGUUCUUGCUCUACUGGGUGUAUAUAUACUCUGCUCAAUUGCCAAACGUUCCCAGCAAAGUAGAACUACUAGGAAAUCUUCUGAGAUCAAGGGAUGUCAGGUCCACAGUGCUGUGAAAAUGCGCCAAGCUUGAGCUCAAGUUCUGGAGCAGGGCAUGUGGAAGAAAUUGGAGGCCUCCAAUCUUACGUUACUGGCCCUGCUGAUUCCAAGAUUGCGGUUUUGCUUGUCUCUGAUGUUUUUGGUAUGUAUUUCUUCCAAAACUUAUCUUUGAUUCGGCAAAGUUGCAAUCUUUUGUUCUGUUUAGUCUUUAAUUUGGUCUGAUUUUACUUUUUGUUUGAUAUCUAAGUCUUAUGUCAAUCAUCAUCGCUUGUUUUUCUGUACUGGGUUUUAGCAGGGGUAUGAUAUGAAGAAAUUGCACAAAAGAUUAAUACAACAAUGAAAUGAGAAUAUGUAGAUUUAAGAAAAAAAUUGUUUUUUUGCCUUCCCUUUUGUUUGUAGUGGAAGCUACUUUUACUAGCCACUUUAUUGUUAAAGGUACUUAUCUAGUUAUCUUGGUAUCCAUAAUUUUGAGUAUGUAUUAUAUGUGCUUCCAGUCCUCUCUGGAAUCAGCGCUGUAUAUUGGUUUCUCUAUUGUGAACCUUGAAAUCCUAAACUUCUUAGCAAGUCAAAUUUUUGACUCAUUGUCCUUUUUUGUGUGCAGGAUAUGAAGCUCCAAAGUUGAGGUAUGAGAUUCCAGAACCUUGUCCCAUUAGAAUUCUUCUAGUUUUGUUCUAUUCUUCUCCUCUUUCUGGGUGGGGACCAUGAGAGGCUGAAAUAAGUUGAUUGAAAUCUCUUUGCUGUGCCCUUUUCCUUGAUAGCCUGGGCUUCCAUAAGCAUUUGAUGAAUAAGCAGCAGCAAGCUACCUGUCUAAUAUCAUAAUCUGCUAUAAAAGCCAUGCGUGUAUACGUUUUCCAUCUUGUUUCCUCCAUCUUCUGGAAAAAGGUGAAACUGGGAAACCAUUUUCUGAGUCUAGAAGAGGAUAAUUAUCAUCUUGAAGUUCCUGGCUCAAAGAUAAACAUAUCAGCAGUAUUUAUAUUGUUCUACUUCUUUUAGCGUCAUACAGUUCUAAUGUCGUUUAUGUACCAAUGCUACUAAGUCGUCUUAUCGACCAAAGCCACUGAGCUGCACGUCCUAUGUACAAUAAUCCUAUGCACUAAAAAGUAAUAUGUAGCAAUAUGUAAUUUCUAAACUAAUAUAUUAGUCUUUCAACUGUGAAGGAAGCUUGCAGACAAAGUUGCAGGAGCUGGAAUUUUUGUUGUAGUUCCAGAUUUUUUUUUCGGAGAUCCUUUAGUGCUUGAGAAGACUACUGUUGAUGACUGGUUGAAGAAUCAUGGCCCUGUAAGCCUUCUUCUUAAUAACAGCCUAAUCACCUUUUGUUUGCUCAAUUGAAAGCAUGUGGUAACUAUAGUAUAGUAUUAAUAUCUCCCUUUGAUGCUACAAUUUCCUUUUGCCAAAUCAGGAACUCUGUUUUCCUCUCUAGUUUGAACCAUGUCAAGAUUUCUAUCGAUUACCUUUUUAGAUCUUAGACUUCAUGCUGGCACUUCCUGGACAGUGAAUCUGUCUGUUCUGAUCUAUGGGAUCAAAUAUUGAACCAAUCAAAGCUGUAUUGGCAUUGACACUCUUAAAGGCUAAAGUGUAGCUCAUGACUUUCCUUUUGCAAUAUUUUCUACAUCGCAUUAGUCUGGAAUUGCCCAGCUUUGGUUGUGUUUCUAGGUUAUAAAUCCACGCUCCAAGAAAAAGUUUUUAAAUCCUAUUUUCAGGCAUUACUUUACAACCAGAAUAGUCAGGAUGUUGGGAACCAAUGGACAUUAAUGAGAACAAAAAUAGGAAGUUAACAUUUGCUAUAAAACAAAAUAUAAACUUACAGCUAUAAUAAUUUUUCUUAGUAUGGAAAACAAUGAUCAUAGAGUGGUAAUAUUUCAAGAAGUUGCUAUCUCUGCAUGAAAUGCUACAAUGGAUCAAUUCUCAAGCGGAAUGCCUGAGGUAAGAGGAAAAGAAUUUGUUUGAGUAGGUAUUCAAAUGCAAUGAGACAGGAGGAGAUGAUAACCGUCUAGUGCUCAGUAACAGAAUUGCUUAUCAGUGUUGAUGCAUGACAUUUAAUCUUUAUGGCUGCACAAAGUUUUACCCACCCAAAGCAUGACUGCAUGACGGGGAAAGAGAAAAAGGGUUAAAUGCAUAGUAUCACAGAGAGAGAGGAAUAUGGGCUUUGAAGGGGCUGAAAACUCGUCCUAGAGAACGAAACUACGAUGACGUUUUUUCUCACUUCUUCUCUUUGUUUUAUAGAAGCCAUCUCCACUUAUAUGUAUCUUUACUUGAGUGUUAUAGACUGAAUGAUGUUUAAAUGAGUAAAAUUCCUUACACAGCAAAACUCAACGAAGAUCUGAGGUUAAUGUCUUGAAUAUAGGAUUCACUUUAGUUUCUCAGUAUACAUUUAGAAUGGCAGAUUUAUGCCUAUGAAAAACAAGUUAACUGAAAUACUUAUCUUGUAAUACCGUUGCUCAAAAAUACUAACCUAUGAAUGCAAAAAUCUGGAUUUGAAAUCAUGCAUUGAUAAUUUAAACUCCAGAUUUUGAUUCACUUCUCUGGUUAGUUUUCUUCUCUACCUCUUUCCCCUUUUUUUCCCCUUCUUUUUCUGGUUGAUGUUAUGUUGGCACUAGUCUUGCUUGCACUUUAAAUUACCUCUUGAAUCUGCUAGAAUAAUACUUACUGGUUUGCUACUUAUUAUCUUUCAUUCUAACUUUCAAGUGCCCGAUUUAAAAGUCACCUUCCAUGAACAAAUACUAAAAGUCUACCAACCUUUUCCUGAGUCUUUGUUUGGAAAUAAAUAUUUUGAAAACUUUUAAAGGAUCAAGGCUUCGAGCAUGCAAAGCCAGUCAUUGAAGCUUUAAAAGGCAAAGGCAUCACUAAAGUUGGAGCUGCAGGCUUUUGCUGGGGAGGUAGGAUCUUUAUCUGGACAACAGUUGCUAGUUGAAUGUCCAUCAAAGUGUUCAGUCUGCUUCUCAGUUCCUUGGAAAAAAUCAUAACUUUGUCUUCUUUAGUUUACUAACACAAAUUCUGGAAUUUUCAGCAAAAGUUGUAGUGGAACUAGCAAAAUAUGCCUAUAUCCAUGCUGCAGUGCUUUUACACCCUUCUUUUGUCACUUUGGAUGAUAUUCAGGGUAUAGCUCUGUUCUUAAGCCUUAUUUUUAUUUUUUUAACUCAUAUAUGCUAAUAAAAAACUGAGGCAUGUAUUUGAGAUGUAUUCAUUUUCAUCUAAUUUGAAUUGUAUAGUUCUAUAUUGUCUGGCAGUUUGGUAAUGCAUGCAAUUUUCUGAGUUGCUCCAAACAAGAUCUCCUUUCUACAUUUCUGAGAUUGCUGUAGCUUGAUCUAAUUAUCUUUAGGUUAUGGUUGGAACUCUAAUCAUGUUAGAUUUUAGAUUUGGGACUUUUAGCUUCAGUUUUAUGCAUGUAGUGACUGACUUUUUAUGGUACAUUUUAGGGGUCAAGGUUCCAAUUUCUAUAUUGGGAGCUGAGAAGGACCAGAAAUGGCCACCAGAGCUGCUGAAAAAAUUUGGUGAAGCCUUAGAUGCUAAGCCUGAGGUAGGAAAUUUAAGAGAUUUUAUACAUUUAAAUCUGGCGCCUGUCUGUAAGUUAUGUUUUUUCCUUUUUGUUGUCACAUUUUUGGGAUUUCUUUAAUUUCUUAAAAGACUAAAUUCAAGGGAACUACGGCGUUCAAUUCAUAUAGUGUGUUCUAUGUUCUUCCGGAUUUGCUCUCUUUCUAACUGCUUGAAUAGUUUAUGGACUCAUCUAUAUGUUCAUUGAAAUUCCACUGGUUGGGCAGAGCAGCUAGUGACUAGCAUACCUUUUUUCCCCCUCCAUGGUACAUUGAAAGGACUAAGCCCUUUAGGAACUAAUCAGUCUUGUGUUGAAGCACCAACUAAAUCAGCAUUAAGGCAUGCGUGUGACUAGUAUACUUCAGUGUAUGAAAUAUGUGGAAUUGCACGAAAGUGUGCUGUUUGAUAUACAAACAAACAUUAGGAUAAAGAAUUAGUUACUAUAAUGCAUCUCAUUAUCGGGUUGAGACUGUCUUUUGAAGUUAUACAUGAUGUUGUAGCUGAAAUGCUUAGUUUAGCAUCCUUUACUACUCUUGCAAUCAAAUUUCAAGGUUAUAGUUAGUCCAAAUCAGUGGUAAUCAACAAUUUUGACAUUUAUCAAAGUUAACAAAAUGAGGACAUUGAUAGAGAUUUUUCUUGCAGGUUGAUGGUUUCGUGAAGAUAUUUCCUGGGGCUACGCAUGGAUGGACUGUGAGAUACAAGGAUGAAGAUGAAAAAGAGGUGAAGGCAGCAGCAGAGGCCCAUCAGGAUACGUUGGAUUGGUUUGUUAAGUACCUCAAGUAGUUCUCUUUAAAAAUUGCAUCACCAGGUUCAGUCACUUGUUCACAACGGAGGCUUAUCUUGUUUUGCAUGAAAAUGUCUUUUUAAGUCUUUGAAUAAAGUAUUGUCUUGUGUUUAUGGGGGAUCAUGUUCUUGUUUCUAGACUUAGGUAAUCAAUUGAGUGACUUCAACUGAUCAGGGUUUUAUAUCAGAUGUACAAUGGUUGAUGAAGUAUGUUAACGAGAUAAUUUUUUUCUAUUAAAGAAGUGGCUUUAUUUAUUCUCUUUGUGGUAUGGUGGGUCCAUGCGACUUGUAUGUUGCUUAUAAUUGUUGGAACUUCUUUGUACUCGUGGAAUCCAUGGACAACAUACUUCUGCUACGUGCUGGAACUUGACGGCAAUGAAGUAUGCGAGGUUCCAUUGCCAUGGUAACGCAGAAGUGAGAUAGACGGCAAUGUACUUGGUGUGGGGGUUUUUAUUUGGCUACUUUUGCAUGACUCGUUUCUACAACCAAAGUUUACGAAGUAAUUGUGAUGAAAGACUAUGGCAUUGUAGAAUGUUGGACCCCUUUGUUUGAGAUCUUGAAUUUGACAUUCUUUGAGUUCUACCCUAACUGAAAUUUGAUACCACUGAUGCGUGUGGAAAAUGGUCAUGUGUUAAUUGUUAAUGGCGGGUUAAUGUUUAGUUACAACUUUCAAACAGUGGAAUACAAUCAUGAUUAUCCCGUAGUGUCUAAUUGAUGUACCCAAAAGUUUAAGCUCCCCGGUUCGGCAAAGGCAGAUCGAAGGACAGUCGGACCCUGAAUCAGAAGGGGAAUAUUCCAAAUUUCCAUCCGAAAGAAGAGGAAUGCUCAAUAGACCAUGAUUAUGGGAGAGCAUUUACCGGACCAUCAUUCAGAAGUGGACUUUAGGGAAUUUGAGUUUUUCAUGAAUUACCACUUUCCGCAUUCAUUUUUUUUUUUUUUAAAUCUGAUGUAGUCCCCUGUUGUGUAUUUGCCCUCUCAAUGUUUUCUAUAUUCGAGUUUUCUAUAAAACUUGUGCAAAGAUCAUUCUAUUUAUAAGCCUUUGAUCUUUUAAGAAACAAAUUAUGCUACAAAUUGCCAGAUAAGUACAUGGAUUUAGGGUUUCGACUCCAUGUUUUUGAUUUUUCUGAUCAUAGUCCCCUUAUUUGCUCAAUUAGCUAAUUAAUUGCCGGAUGGUAAUCUAUGACUAGAAUUGGUUGGAUACUUUUCUGUAUACAGAAUUGAUCCCUUAGAAUUAUAUUUAAUGAUGUAAGAUAAUAAUAUUCUAAACCAGGGCAAAUUAAUAUAUUCUUAAUGCAGACAUUAAUUGAAAAGAGGAGCUCCUUUUAUUCAUUGUGCGUGUAUGGAUACGAAGGUUGUUUGGUGACUGAAUCUUGAUGACAAAUUUUAGGAUUCAAAUUAAAGCACUUUGAAAUAGUUGGCCUGCGUGCUUCGUGGAUCGUUACUUUUUAAGUCAUCCAGUAAUAUAUCUUGUGUUUACGGGGGAUUAAUUUCCUGUCUCUAAUUUAACUAAAUAAUCUAGUUUAGUAACUUCUUCAACUUGAUCAGGGGUUGAUCAUGAUAUAUAGAUUCGUUGAUGAAGUUAAACCAAUGAUUUCCAUCAUAAGCGGUCCAAUGCGGGGGACUGGUGGGAUUUUGUCAGGCGCCCAGGCACAAUGGCCUGAAUUUGAGAACUGAUUAGAAUUGAAGGUGAGAAUGUGACACCCCAACUUUUAAGAUGCUAUUGUUUUACGGUUUCUUUAGUUCAUUUUAUUUUAAAACAUUAUUUUGUUUCAGGGAAGAUACUAAAGUUAUUUCUUUGGGUUUGAUUUAAAAUCUUAUUUUGUUUUAAAAGACUAGAAACCCUAAAAUUUUAAUCAAAAAUCCUAGUUUACUUGUGACUAUGUUUAAAUCCCUCAUAUUUGACUCAAAACCCUAAUUUUAUUUUAUGGAAUUGCAAAAUUCAUCACACUUUUCUUAAAAUUCCUUUUAUUUGGAAAUUAUUUAUUUAAUAUGAUCCUCCUACUCAAGUACUCCACAAUAAGUGUAAAUAAACCUAGAAAGUAGGGUUUCACUCUUCGUUUUCAAGAAUUGAGCAAAUUAGGGUUUUCGCGAUUUUUCGCAUGAUGAAAUUUCGGUAUGGAGCAAGGAUCAAAUUUGGUGAUUAAAAAUGACUUUUAAGUGAGAAAUAAUAUGUGAUUAGAAGCAAUGAUACAAGGUUAGUGAAUAGGAAGUAAAAACCCUAGUACGUGUGUUUUUAAGAAAAACGGCGCGAACCGGAGGGUCCCGCGCACUACCGAUUGAACGCACCACUUGACCACCACUUUCUUCCCAUACAAGUCUAUUGAUAUUUGAGCAAAAUAUCUCCUAAUUUACAGCUAAGCUUGACCGAAAUUUGUGGCUCAAAUGCAAGGAAGGAAAGAGAAAAUUUUUGUGGUUGAGGUUAAGCCAAGUGUUGGCCAAACUUGUGGUUAGAAUUAAUUCUUAUCUUUCUACCUUCUUAUAAGACAAACUUAGCUUAAUCUCCUUCAUUAUUUUCUGCAUCUUGGCCGAGUAAGGAGAGAGAGAAAGGGAGAGUAAGAGUUGCACCAUUUUCUUCUUGAUUUACACCAACCAAGUGCUAAAAUCGAAUUCUAAACCGAUUGAUCGUAAGUUUGGAAGCUUGGGAAGCUAAGGGAACCAAAAAUUUCAAGAAAUAGUGGAGGAUCACUCUUGCAAGCCUUCUUUUUGAGGUAUAAAAUCUGAUCUAUGGCUUUGAUCCUUUUAUUCUUGUUUAGGAUGUUAAAUAGUUCAUGUUUUGGGUUUGAUUACAAGUUAUGCAAGUUGAUGUGAUGAUUUUGGAUGAGAUAGGUAAGUUAGGGUUUGAUUAAUUUCUGCCUAUACUUAAUGUAUGAUUGAUAUAUGUUGUAUCCAAAGUUAUAUAGGGGGUUUUGGUAGCAAGUGUAGCAAGAAAUUUAGAAAACUAUCAUUGAAACCAAAAGAUUCCAGAUUUCUGGAAAAUUUUUUCCCCUUUCUGUCCGUUUUUGUUGCACCAUGUUAGAGGCCGAAUUGGGAUUGGAAUAAAACAUGAAAGUUGUAGAGAAUGAUAUUUUAUAGGUGCCUACAAAAUUUCAACUCAAUCAGAGCAAUGUAGCUCGUGAAAAGACCAAAAUACCCUCACUGAUUUAGGUCACUUUCCAGAGUUCCGCGUGGACAGUUUAGUCCUUUUGAUUGAAUUUAUUCACUAUAAUCCGUUUGGAUUCGGCCUUUCACCAAAACAUAAAAGUUUCAGUGUUCUGUAUUAGCUUUGUAACGCCACCAAGAACACCUUAAACGGACCUUGGUAGACUGAGAUAUGGUCACUUGAAUGCAGUACGGUGGAUUAGCCGAAUAGUUGAAACCAGGUUACAUGGAUUGGGAAUUUGAUCAGGUUACACUGGAAAUUGGACUAAGUGAUCUUCAUGAACAUUGUACCCUUAUUUCUCAGUUUUCUAAUGCCUUUGGAAUUUCUUGAUUUGGAUUUGUGAGCUAGGAGUUACGAUCCAGCAAACAUACCCUGUCCGUCAUCUUAAAGUGCAAAUUUCUGGCACUGUUUUCCAUACUUUCGACCCAUCUCUGUUCAGAUCCGGAUUUAAGUGUCUUCAUAAAAGUUAUAGAAUUUUCUCUUAGCUUCGUAACGGUACCUCAUGUACCUUGAUCCGACACUCGUAGCCUCGAUUGUACUCAAAACAGUUUUGACGGCAAAACGGCUAGGCCGCCAUUCCCGUUUCCGUAUGCCGUUUCCGCACAUGCAUGUGCCAAUUUUGUCGUUUUGCUUGUUUUAGGCAUAUUAGUAGCCGUUUGUGAUACUAUGUGAUGCAAUCUUCUAUUUCAGAUGGUGGUGAGCUAGGUGGAGCCGGUGGGGCCUACUAGCUACUUUUCGCGACGCGAAUUUCAUCCUUUUGUUAUCCUUGUUCGUUGUGUAAGUAUUCAGGCCGCUUUUACGUGUUAGUUGUUUAUGUGAUUCGAUAUGUAUGAAAAGGGAAAAUCGAAGAGGGGUGGGUGUGAUUUGACAUGGGCCACUGUUUGCAAGAGCAGCUCACCUGCUCUCUGGCAACAGAGGAAGAGAAAGAAGCAAGAAACGAAGAGAUGGAACUCUGUCCUCCGCUUGUGCUAUUGUUAGUCACUUAGUCUUAUACAAUGCUCUCUUUCUUGUUAGAAUAGAAUUACAAUGAUGAUGAAGAAAAAGGACAGCUAUUAAUUAUUGCUCUCUUUAGUGGGUUCCAUACGGCAAAACACUUAGGCUUACAAACGCACGGCCCAAUUUGCAACCUCUGCAUUAAAAAAAAAAAAAACACACACACACACAUUGACGAACACACUCCAGCCAAUAACAAUUGGCCACAUCAGCAAAACAACAACCCUUUUGAGCCAUGGCAUUUGCGCUUUUAUACAUAUGUUAAUUAGAGGUGUCAAUGGGUCAGAUCUGCCUGACUUCGGAUCGAAAUAAUUUGGGCCAAGUUUUGCAUAUCAUUUGAUUGGGUUCAACUUGAAUCUCAAAAUUAGUCCAAUUAAACUAUGAGUUGAGUUUCAAUUCAUUUAGAGUCAACCUAAUUACAGUUCGACCGGAUCAAUUAAGUACAAAAAAAACUUAUUCUUUAAUUUAUGAUGAUGCAUUUUAUCUAAUAUAUAUUACAAUGUGCAUAAUUUAUAGUUUGUAUAUAAUGAUAAAAUAAAAUAAAUAUUAUAUGCUCAUCCUACAUAAAAUUAAGGACUAAUUCUAAAUUUAGACCAAACUCGAGCCUGAAACUUUUAUAUCCUGAACAGUCUAAUAUGGGCGUUGAACAUUUAACUUGAAACCCCAGCCUAGAAAUCCGAAUGACAUUUAAUUUUGUGAGCUGAGUUUGGACUUUUCAAAACCCGGCUAACCAGGCCCGAUUGACGCCUCUGGUACUCUUCUAUUAGGUUCUUGCUCUACUGGGUGUAUAUAUACUCUGCUCAAUUGCCAAACG
This 9533-nucleotide long non-coding RNA is filed under the name Coffea arabica (coffee). Its description in RNAcentral is "long non-coding RNA (CARA_LNC006889)". Lineage: Eukaryota; Viridiplantae; Streptophyta; Magnoliopsida; Gentianales; Rubiaceae. The record is from RNAcentral.